This 384-nucleotide ribosomal RNA is filed under the name uncultured eukaryote. RNAcentral describes it as "SSU rRNA". It matches the Rfam family "Eukaryotic small subunit ribosomal RNA", at positions 587 to 972 of the family's 1831-position model. The record is from RNAcentral.
AGCUCCAAUAGCGUAUAUUAAUGUUGUUGCAGUUAAAAAGCUCGUAGUUGGACUUGUGGUUGGAUUGGUCGGCCCGACACAGUGUGUGGGUGCCUGACUGGUCUGUCCAUUAUUUGGUUUGAAUCUUUGUGGCAUUAAGUUGUCGUGGAGGGGAGAGCCAUCAUUUACUGUGAAAAAAUCAGAGUGUUCAAAGCAGGCUUAUGCCGUUGAAUAUAUUAGCAUGGAAUAAUGAGAUAGGACCUUGGUGCUAUUUUGUUGGUUUGUGCACCUUUGGUAAUGAUUAACAGGGACAGUUGGGGGUAUUCGUAUUCCAUUGUCAGAGGUGAAAUUCUUGGAUUUCUGGAAGACGAACUACUGCGAAAGCAUUUACCAAGGAUGUUUUCA